GGGAAUGUGGCUUAGUGGUAGAGUGCUUGCUUAGCAUGCAUGAAGCCCUGGGUUCAAUUCCAAGUACCA
RNAcentral lists this transfer RNA (69 nucleotides) under Dipodomys ordii (Ord's kangaroo rat). It matches the Rfam family "tRNA". From Rfam's summary of the family: Transfer RNA (tRNA) molecules are approximately 80 nucleotides in length. The record is from Rfam by way of RNAcentral. Lineage: Eukaryota; Metazoa; Chordata; Mammalia; Rodentia; Heteromyidae.